GGGUGUGCAGAUAUAUUUAUAAACCGAUUGACCCGAUUGACCCGAUCAGAUCCACCCGAUAAAAGCCGGGUUACAAUUUAAGCGGGUCGUCUGAAGAAUUAUACGGGCGAAACCGCAGCUAAAGAACCAACCCGUAUCCCAUCUGUCCCAAGUUCCAACUCCCUCCGUCUUCAACAUAGCCCCCCCUCUCUCUCUCUCUCGACCUCUCUCUCAUCACCGUGGGUCUCUAUUUCUCUCGCUCUCUCUCUCUCUCUCUCUCUCACACACACACACACACACAGACGGCGGCGUGGGUCUCUCUCUCUCUCACUCUCACUCUCUCUCUUCGGCCGCAGCUCCAAGAUCAGCUUCGGCGUGGGUCUCGACUCUCCAAGACGGAGGUAUGUUCCUUUUCAUAAAACCCUUCAGAUCAACUCAUAAUUUAUUCACAAGGCCAUACCUGUGCAUCAUGAUUCAUAACCCCAAUACAGACCUACACAGAAAUUAAUAAUCUCAUUUGCUAGCAAAUAACCUUCUGUUGUGUGUAUUUUUAUAUUCGGAUUUGUUGGGCUGUAAUUGCGGUGGUGAUAAGAAAAUCUUAAUCAUUUUCUAGUUUUCUUUGAUAAUGUUUCCUAAAAAUGGAAAAUCUGUAAUUGAGGAGGCCCAAGUUUUAUCGAUUUUUCUCUUCAGCCUUUCUAUUAUGCCCUGAGAUAUUAUUAUUAGUAUAAGAAUUGGUUAAAAAGGAUGUUGGGUUUUUUCUUUUUGGAUGGUUGCUGAAUUUUCGCCAUUAUUGGUUAAGAUUAAUGUGAACUAUUUUUGGAAAGUAUCGUCCUUUUUGGAGGGUUGUUGAAUUUUUCCCCAUUGCUUUGUUUUAUACAUUCUUUUGGUUAAUGGCUGGAAUAUUCCUGGCAGAGGGAAUAAUUUAAGGCCAAUUUACAGUAUUAAAUUUAGAGAUCUAAAUGGAUGUGGGGGGUUUUUUUUCUUAUAGGAUGUAAUUGCACAAAGAUUUGGGUGAAUGAUUUCUUGAAUUGAAGGGUUCUUGCUGCUUACUUCGUACUCUAGAAAUCAUACUCCUUUUGGAGGACAGAUGCAUUGGAUUGGGUUUAAGUAAAUAUCCUAGGGUACUUAUUUCUGCCAUGAACAGGGAGCUACCCACUUCUCCAUUUUGUCUUUAAGAAUGAAAAUGAUAGCAUGAUUCAUUUCAGGAAUGAAUUUGAUCCCCAAUCAAGCUUUAUUUAUGUUGAUGAUGAGUGACUUAAGGCUUAUGGUCUACACAUUCUAUAUUGUUUAUUGUUUAUGUUAUGGAUGGCCUAUGGGAUGUAAUGUAGUGGAUAGAUGAAUGGAUUUGUGAGAAAGGCUGGAUGUUAUAUUCAUGUUUAUUUUUAGUUCAUGAAUUUGUUUAAAAGGACUGUAUUAUUUUCUAUGGAUCAUAAUAUAUAUAGUCAUUAUAUUCAUGUUUA
Long non-coding RNA from Carya illinoinensis, 1439 nucleotides. RefSeq lists it as uncharacterized. The transcript is spliced from 2 exons. NCBI's taxonomy places the organism in Eukaryota, Viridiplantae, Streptophyta, Magnoliopsida, Fagales, Juglandaceae. The record is from RefSeq and is a predicted model, not a curated record.